CUGUAGUGUUUUCUAGAGGACUGGAAAAUACUGUGCUACCUCCUGGCUUCUCUGGGUGUGGCUUCCUGACAAGAUAGUACUGAUUGGAAAACCUGUGUUGGCAAUAAACCCCAGACUCAAUUUGUCAGUGCAGAAAUGACGCACUCAGACACCAAGAAAUCUCGACAAGAGCUGAAGACACUGGCACAAAGAGGUUAAGAAGUCUACCUGGUGUCACAUAGACAAGAAACAGUGGAGCCAGAACAGGAAAGUGGAUCUCUGGGCACCUGACACCCAAAGGGAAGAGAAAAAAAGCCACUGUGGACACUUGGUCAUCUGCAGAAUCAGAGAAUUGGUGUUGGGAAAGACACCGCUUAUUUGGUGUUGGGAGGAAAACAAGCCUCUCACCUGGAGAACAAACUCCUAAGGGACAAGAGCAAACUAGAUAUAGAAGGAGCCACACUGGAGCUGAAGUCCUGGAUAGGAGUAAGUCAUGAGUUCCUAUUCCAUUGAUUAUGGGAAGAAAGAGUGAGCUCUCUAGGACAAACCUAACCUAUUGUGUGGGAAGUCAGGCAUUGGGG
This 560-nucleotide long non-coding RNA is filed under the name Heterocephalus glaber (naked mole-rat). RNAcentral describes it as "lncRNA (ENSHGLG00000049154.1)". Lineage: Eukaryota; Metazoa; Chordata; Mammalia; Rodentia; Bathyergidae. The record is from RNAcentral.